RNAcentral lists this ribosomal RNA (253 nucleotides) under uncultured bacterium. Its description in RNAcentral is "partial 16S ribosomal RNA". It matches the Rfam family "Bacterial small subunit ribosomal RNA", at positions 524 to 776 of the family's 1533-position model. The record is from RNAcentral.
UACGUAGGGUGCGAGCGUUAAUCGGAAUUACUGGGCGUAAAGCGUGCGCAGGCGGCGCGUUAAGACAGGUGUGAAAGCCCCGAGCUUAACUUGGGAAUUGCGCUUGUGACUGGCGUGCUGGAGUGUGGCAGAGGGAGGUGGGAUUCCACGUGUAGCAGUGAAAUGCGUAGAGAUGUGGAGGAACACCGAUGGCGAAGGCAGCCUCCUGGGCCAGCACUGACGCUCAUGCACGAAAGCGUGGGGAGCAAACAGG